UGGGGAAUAUUGCACAAUGGGCGCAAGCCUGAUGCAGCCAUGCCGCGUGUAUGAAGAAGGCCUUCGGGUUGUAAAGUACUUUCAGUCGGGAGGAAGGUGUCAAGGUUAAUAACCUUGGCAAUUGACGUUACCGACAGAAGAAGCACCGGCUAACUCCGUGCCAGCAGCCGCGGUAAUACGGAGGGUGCAAGCGUUAAUCGGAAUUACUGGGCGUAAAGCGCACGCAGGCGGUUGAUUGAGUCAGAUGUGAAAUCCCCGGGCUUAACCCGGGAAUUGCAUCUGAUACUGGUCAGCUAGAGUCUUGUAGAGGGGGGUAGAAGUCCAUGUGUAGCGGUGAGAUGCGUAGAGAUGUGGAGGAAUACCGGUGGCGAAGGCGGCCCCCUGGACAAAGACUGACGCUCAGGUGCGAAAGCGUGGGGAGCAAGCAGG
Molecule: ribosomal RNA, 429 nt
Filed under: Chloroflexota bacterium
Lineage: Bacteria; Bacillati; Chloroflexota
Description: Chloroflexi bacterium partial 16S ribosomal RNA
Rfam family: Bacterial small subunit ribosomal RNA
Source: RNAcentral